This 514-nucleotide ribosomal RNA is filed under the name uncultured Acidobacteriota bacterium. Its description in RNAcentral is "bacterial SSU rRNA". It matches the Rfam family "Bacterial small subunit ribosomal RNA", at positions 355 to 857 of the family's 1533-position model. The record is from RNAcentral. Lineage: Bacteria; Pseudomonadati; Acidobacteriota.
UGAGGAAUAUUGCGCAAUGGGCGAAAGCCUGACGCAGCGACGCCGCGUGGAGGAUGAAGGUCUUCGGAUCGUAAACUCCUGUCGAGUGGGACGAAGCCGAGCCGGUGAAUAGCCGGUUCGGUUGACGGUACCGCCAAAGGAAGCCCCGGCUAACUCCGUGCCAGCAGCCGCGGUAAUACGGAGGGGGCCGAGCGUUGUUCGGAAUCAUUGGGCGUAAAGGGCGCGUAGGCGGCUUUGUAAGUCGGUUGUGAAAUCCCUCGGCUCAACCGAGGAACUGCGACCGAUACUGCUUGGCUUGAGUCCCGGAGAGGGUAGCGGAAUUCCCAGUGUAGCGGUGAAAUGCGUAGAUAUUGGGAGGAACAUCGGUGGCGAAGGCGGCUACCUGGACGGGUACGUGACGCUGAGGCGCGAAAGCUAGGGGAGGCAAACAGGAUUAGAUACCCUGGUAGUCCAAGCUGUAAACGAUGGGCACUUGGUGUUGCGGGUAUCGACCCCUGCAGUGCCGAAGCUAACG